Haplochromis burtoni (Burton's mouthbrooder) is the source of this 292-nucleotide long non-coding RNA. RefSeq lists it as uncharacterized. The transcript has 3 exons. NCBI's taxonomy places the organism in Eukaryota, Metazoa, Chordata, Actinopteri, Cichliformes, Cichlidae. The record is from RefSeq and is a predicted model, not a curated record.
CUUUUCAGGGUUCAGUUCUCCGUCCAUCGAGGACUCUAUGGCGAUGGUCGGCGUGGCGCUGGUGCUUUAUGGGCUCAUCAAGUUUGUCUCGUGGACAUUUACCAGCUCAGGCUCAGCUGAGGCUGAUAAACAAGAUAAGAAAGAGAAGUGAAGGUGAAAGAAGGCGACUGACCAUCAGUGGCAUUGAUCCACUCGAUAUGUUUGAUGGGAUUUCAGGAGGGGCUUUCCACAUGUUCAUGGGACAGAUUAUUUCUUUUUCUUUUGUUUUUUUACUGCUCUGGUUUGAAGGUAA